UUGAAGAGAAGUAGGCUGUGGGGCGGAUUUUCUUGACGCACCCGGAGUUUUGGUCCAACACAUUCAACCCUUUUCGAAUGCACUUUAGUGAAUGAACCGGACGGGUUGGUGCAUAAGUAAAAGGGCUACUCUUUGUAGGAAUGUUCCUGGAACAGCGUGUGCGUGUGGUGUUGUCUAAAGCAGGUCGAUCAAGUGUCGAUCAGAAGUGGUUAAAGAGAAAUGAUCAGCGUUUUUUCUUCUUUAAUGAAAUCUUUCAUUCAUUUCAACAGGGUUUCUUCCUUUGAUGUCAUUGGAUGACGGCAACUUGUCUCGAGUCGAACCGCCACGAAAGCCUUAAAUUUGUAAUGAAAUUCUAGUGAAUUCACGUUACCAAGAUUCGCGGGAGUAUGACGAUAUUGUAAUGCACAGAAAUUAUAUUUUUUAUUUAAUUUAAAAUCCA
Long non-coding RNA from Anopheles arabiensis, 439 nucleotides. RefSeq lists it as uncharacterized. The transcript is spliced from 2 exons. Lineage: Eukaryota; Metazoa; Arthropoda; Insecta; Diptera; Culicidae. The record is from RefSeq and is a predicted model, not a curated record.